Molecule: ribosomal RNA, 593 nt
Filed under: uncultured bacterium
Lineage: Bacteria
Description: bacterial SSU rRNA
Rfam family: Bacterial small subunit ribosomal RNA (bases 1-517)
Source: RNAcentral
CCUACGGGAGGCAGCAGUGGGGAAUCUUGCGCAAUGGGCGAAAGCCUGACGCAGCCAUGCCGCGUGAAUGAUGAAGGUCUUAGGAUUGUAAAAUUCUUUCACCGGGGACGAUAAUGACGGUACCCGGAGAAGAAGCCCCGGCUAACUUCGUGCCAGCAGCCGCGGUAAUACGAAGGGGGCUAGCGUUGCUCGGAAUUACUGGGCGUAAAGGGAGCGUAGGCGGAUAGUUUAGUCAGAGGUGAAAGCCCAGGGCUCAACCUUGGAAUUGCCUUUGAUACUGGCUAUCUUGAGUACGGAAGAGGUAUGUGGAACUCCGAGUGUAGAGGUGAAAUUCGUAGAUAUUCGGAAGAACACCAGUGGCGAAGGCGACAUACUGGUCCGUUACUGACGCUGAGGCUCGAAAGCGUGGGGAGCAAACAGGAUUAGAUACCCUGGUAGUCCACGCUGUAAACGAUGAGUGCUAGUUGUCGGCAUGCAUGCAUGUCGGUGACGCAGCUACGACAUAAGACACUCCGCCGUCGGGAGGUACGGUCGCGAGAAUAACUACAAGAAGUAGACGCGNGAGACGNGCGACGACGACGACGAGGGAGGAG